UACGUAGGGUGCAAGCGUUAAUCGGAAUUACUGGGCGUAAAGCGUGCGCAGGCGGUUCGCUAAGACCGAUGUGAAAUCCCCGGGCUUAACCUGGGAACUGCAUUGGUGACUGGCGAGCUAGAGUAUGGCAGAGGGGGGUAGAAUUCCACGUGUAGCAGUGAAAUGCGUAGAGAUGUGGAGGAAUACCGAUGGCGAAGGCAGCCCCCUGGGCCAAUACUGACGCUCAUGCACGAAAGCGUGGGGAGCAAACAGG
This 253-nucleotide ribosomal RNA is filed under the name uncultured bacterium. RNAcentral describes it as "partial 16S ribosomal RNA". It matches the Rfam family "Bacterial small subunit ribosomal RNA", at positions 524 to 776 of the family's 1533-position model. The record is from RNAcentral.